AUCGCAAUUUCAGCCCCUUAAUAUACACAAACAAGUGGCCCAACUCCUAACAAAUCCCCUUCUCUGCCAGGCCACUCCGAAACCCGCCUAACAAAAUCCUCCACUAACUCACAAGCCAGCCCAAACUCAGCCCAUUUCUCCACCUUUCCCGUUUUACCCAUACAACAAACUAGUAACAACAACAUACGCACAAAGCAACAAAACAGCAGCAGCUACACAACAGCAACACGACAAAAACCAACGAAACAACGACAAUAAUAUCCACGACGCCGAUCAGCGUUCGGACCACCGGAUAUUAGGAAAUCUGGUGGUUUUUCCACCUCUCCUCCUCUCCCCCUACUCUAUUUCCGUCUCCAUCAACAUCAAUUGUCUUUCCAUCAAUUUUUGUUCAAGAAAACCAAAGCCCAAUGCUCUACAAUUUCAAGAAAAAUGGGGAAAAUCUCAAGACCCAUUGGAUUCAAGGUGUUACACCUUCGAUUCGACGGCUAUCAAAGUUUAAAUUGGUGGAUCCGAGCCUCUCUACCUCGAAUCCAUCACUUUUCUUCAAAUUGACCGAAAGAGGUGACCCCUUUCUCUCCUUUAUUUCUUUUUAUCCAUUAGUCCUGAUGACUUCUCGAAGAAUUUGCCUUCUCAAUGAAUUCAAAAUCCAAAUUUAUUUUUUGGGAACUGUUGGAAGCUUCAAGGAGCCAUUGCAAUCCAAUACUGCCUAUAAAAGGGGUUUUUUCCACCCUCUUGUAGGAGAGGGAAAAAAAAGAAAAAAAUGAGGAAGAAAAAAGGGUAAUAGAGAAAUUAGAAUUUUUUUUGUGUGUUUUUGUCAUACUCGCCGAUUCACCAAGUUUCUAUUUCCUUUUCUUUAUUUUUCUGAUUAUUGUUACUAGUUCCUGCAUCGGAAAAGGUGAAUCCUCCUCCUUCAAAAUUCUUAUUUAUGAAGCUUUGGUCAUCUAAGCAAUUUAUGUUUGAUGAAUUUUUAAACGUAUCUAUACCAUAAAUUUUGUGUUUGCGACAAAAUUGGCAUAGCUUCUUAAUUGUUUAGCAUGAAAUUUGACUCCUUUAAAUGCCUGACUUGGUAAGAAACAUGUGCUUGUUAUUGCCUAUUUUCUAUCUUGACGCAAUAGUUUUAAUACUAGGAAUUUGCAUGUUUUCAUUUGUCUUUUGGUUGCAAACUUUGAUGACCAUCACUUUUAGUCAAGGUCUGUAUAUAUAUAUUUGAGCUGACGUGGUUAUCACCUUAAUAGCGUGGGUUUAGACGUAUCCAUGGAAAAAUGGUUGAUCGUAUCCAUGGAAAAAUGGUUUAUCUUUUUUCUUUCUUCGAGCAUAGUGUAUAAAUUAGUUGAAGUUCUCUACUCCAUUUUUGUACAAAAAUGGGUAUGUUUUCUCUUCUCUAUGUGGCUACUAUUGCCUAAAAUAUAAUAAAGAGAUUUAUUACUUUAUUGUUUAAGCUUUCAGUUAUUACAAUACUCAUUUAAUCAUUUUGAUAGUUAAGUAAAUAAUAUGCCAAGAGACUGGUUGAGGUCCAUGUUGCUAUCUCUUUGUGCAAAGGACAAUAUGUGCAUUUGUUCCCAAUUUAUUUAACGUACAUAGAGCCCUUGGUUACCUUUAAAAAAGUUGAAAAAACAUAAAAUGACGAAAAAUAUCCUUUUUAAGGGAUAAAUCCUUGUUCAAACUGCUUUGUGUUCAUUUGAUCAUAUAUUGACUUUUGGUCUAUGAACUUCUUGGGUAAUCCCUUUCAUAUUUGGGUGUGUGACUUGAUCUCUAGUUGGUAACUACAGAGCAUUUUCGUUUAUGUGUCAAAACUAUGUUUUGUGUGAACUUAUACUACUAUUUAUCUCUUCUUUUCUAUGCAUGAAAUCCCUCCUUGAGUCCAUCGGACUCCCAUAUCUUGCAUUCGAUUGAGUUAAACUCAACGUCCAUCGAGUCAAGACCCAUGUCAAGUCCGAAAAGGGACUAAUAUGCAAGAAAAAUAGGCUGGUAUACAAUCAUAUACUCUGAUAUAUGGUGAAUAUCCGUCUUAAGCAGCAGGUGCAUGCUAUCCCGCGGUUUAUGAUGAAAAAGUGGAGCAAAAUACGUAGGCAUCCACACUGAUAUACACUGUAUACACAGGGGUAUACAGAAAAAUACAGGAAAGAAGCUGCUGAUAUACCACAGAUAUACAGGGGAAAAAAAUAGGCUAAAGUCCAUGGAAUUGGUCCAAAAUUGGACAGAUUUUUAAUGUGUCAAAAGGGGCCCAAUUUUCACUCUUCUCUAUUUAAUUAUCCAUUCUAACUUAUUUAUUUGUAAUAGUUUAGGAUACGUGCAUUGCACGUGACACAAAUUUAUAAAAUAAACUUUAUUGAAAAAUCAACCAUCUAAUAAUUUGAUCUGAUUGGAGUUAUUUAAUUAUAUGGUAUUAUUGACUUAUUUUUUGUUUGAUACCAUCACACAUUGUUAUCAAAUUAUGUGUGGGACUUCUAACCAAUAAGGAUACUUUAUGCCAUUGAGUCAAUUUGUUAUGGUCAUUUUACUUGGGGCUUUGGGCUGUCGGUGACAAAAGAGUUUUAAAAUGAUGUGUAAGUGACUAAUGUCUUAAUAAUUAAGUGGAGGUGACAAUUACUUUAUUAUGGAUUAAGAAAGUUGGGUAUGUUUGAGAAUAACCCAGAAGUUUUUAAAUUUACACUUUGAUUCAAAUGUUUACCUAGUAUAACGAGAAACGGAGGGAAAAAGGCGUCUUUCUCUCUGUUCUCAUUCAUUGUUGUUUUCUCUCUCUUAGCGAUUUUUGUUGUUUAUUGUUGUUGUUGCUUUAUUCAUCAUCUUUUGCUUCAUUAUCAUCUUCUACUUUAUUAUGAUCUCUAUUUUUUUCUUGUUGAUCAUUGUUGUUGUUGCUUUACUGCUAUUGUUGCCAUUUGACCAAUUUCUUAGGUCAAAUUUUGUUUCCUACAUCACUUUCCACUUUGGUAUUACUUCAUAGGAGACUUUAGUAAGUCAAAGUAUGAUUUUUAGUUGAAUUUGUCAUUUGGGUAAAUGCUAUUGUGUUGUUUCUUCAACGAUAGAUAGCACGCAAACAUGAAUGCAACAUAAUAGCCAUCUGUUUAAAUAGAUCUGUUUCAACAGAAGACUCAUAUGUUGGAUUCAUAUUUAUGGUUCCAUAGUUUCGUUACAUAAAUCAAACAGAUGAGUCGUCUGUUACAAUAGAUGACCCAUUUGUUGCAAUAAAUUAGUUAUCUGGUGCAACAUGAUAAAUAUUUGUUGCAACAAAUUAAUAACCUCUUGCAAUAGAACCUGAACUUGAUUCCAACAGACGUGUUGUCUGUUGCAACAGGGUAAAUAUCUGUUGCAACAAAUUAUUAACCCGUUGCAACAGAACCUGAACUCAAUUCCAACAGACAAUAAAUAUGUGUUGCAAUAUAUUAGUAACCUGUUGCGAUAGAACCUGACCUCGAUUCCAAUAAAUCGUCGUCUGUUGCAACAGGUAAAUCAUCUGUCGCAAUAGGUUGAUUAUCUGAUGCAACAUGUCACUUAUUUGUUGGAAUCUGCUUCAAAGGUGCCUCAAUACUGUAACAUCUGUCCAACAAGCACUUUAUCUGUUGCAACAGAUAUAUAGUCUGUUGCAACACAUGAUUCACUUGUUACAACAGAUGACUCGUCUGUUGAAAUCAACUUUAGGAGCGUAACAUGAAUCCCAAUAGGUACUAAUCUGUUGCUAUUGAUUACACAUCUGUUGGGAUUCAUUUAUGGCACUAUGAAAUCACUAUUAACUUUUUUUAAAAAAUGACUUUAUUUAG
Molecule: long non-coding RNA, 3758 nt
Filed under: Capsicum annuum
Lineage: Eukaryota; Viridiplantae; Streptophyta; Magnoliopsida; Solanales; Solanaceae
Description: long non-coding RNA (CANN_LNC011448)
Source: RNAcentral